Molecule: ribosomal RNA, 253 nt
Filed under: uncultured bacterium
Lineage: Bacteria
Description: partial 16S ribosomal RNA
Rfam family: Bacterial small subunit ribosomal RNA
Source: RNAcentral
UACGUAGGGUGCGAGCGUUAAUCGGAAUUACUGGGCGUAAAGCGUGCGCAGGCGGUUUUGUAAGUCAGAUGUGAAAGCCCCGGGCUCAACCUGGGAACUGCGUUUGAAACUGCAAGGCUAGAGUGUAGGAGAGGGGGAUAGAAUUCCACGUGUAGCAGUGAAAUGCGUAGAGAUGUGGAGGAAUACCAAUGGCGAAGGCAGCCCCCUGGCCUAACACUGACGCUCAUGCACGAAAGCGUGGGGAGCAAACAGG